Molecule: ribosomal RNA, 475 nt
Filed under: uncultured organism
Description: partial 16S ribosomal RNA
Rfam family: Bacterial small subunit ribosomal RNA
Source: RNAcentral
ACACUCCUGCGGGAGGCAGCAGUGGGGAAUUUUGGACAAUGGGCGAAAGCCUGAUCCAGCAAUGCCGCGUGAGUGAAGAAGGCCUUCGGGUUGUAAAGCUCUUUUGUCAGGGAAGAAACGGUGAAAGCUAAUAUCUUUUGCUAAUGACGGUACCUGAAGAAUAAGCACCGGCUAACUACGUGCCAGCAGCCGCGGUAAUACGUAGGGUGCAAGCGUUAAUCGGAAUUACUGGGCGUAAAGCGUGCGCAGGCGGUUUUGUAAGUCUGAUGUGAAAUCCCCGGGCUCAACCUGGGAAUUGCAUUGGAGACUGCAAGGCUAGAAUCUGGCAGAGGGGGGUAGAAUUCCACGUGUAGCAGUGAAAUGCGUAGAUAUGUGGAGGAACACCGAUGGCGAAGGCAGCCCCCUGGGUCAAGAUUGACGCUCAUGCACGAAAGCGUGGGGAGCAAACAGGAUUAGAUACCCUGGUAGUCCCAUG